CAACCCCUCCUGAUCCACUCUGCUCAGAGGCAGAGCCUCUUAUGGGGAGGAGGGGAGCAGGCAGGGGCUUUCCCAUGAGUAUCUUGAAGCCUGCCCAGCCCUGCCUGGGUGAAGGAGCCUUCAGCAGCCAGAGGAAGGGGCUUGCUCAGAGCAGUGCGGUUCUUCGGGUGGAUUGAUGAGUUCCCAGACCAGCCAAAGACAUCCUGUGAUGCAGGGGAGCAGACAGGUGCGCCUUCCCUAACGAGCCAGGCCAGAUGGAGUGGCUGUCGGGCCAAUGCUCCCCACAAAGUGCAAAUGAACCUUUUAUGCCAAGGAGCCUUGGUGCCAAAUGGAAGGGGAGGGAAGAGAAGAGCGCACGACUGCGAGCUGAAAGAAGAGCUGUUAGCCACCUCAGUGCACUUGAUGACUUUGAACUCCUCCACCUAAGGCUGGCUGAUGAGCUGUGGGCUUCCCCGAGGAUGUGGAGAGGUGCUUGGUCUGCUGUGAUCUGUUCCUGGCCCAGAAGGACACUGGGAUGACUGGAGCGUGCCAGAGCCAGGUGAAUGAUGCCUGGGACUUCCCAGGCUAAGAGGCUGCUGGCAGACGUUGAGCUGCUGCUCUUGGCUUCCUGUGGCCUGCACCUGCCUGGCUGAUUGCUCCUGGGUGGAAGAUGUGCCUUGUUUAGAGUGCAAGUGGUGGAGUCAGGAGCUCAAGGUAAAGUGCAACACAACAAAACCAAUGUAAAAAUGAUCUGCAAGGAUGUGCUUGAUCUCUUAACAGAGAUCUGAGGCAGAUCUCUUAACAAUGCAGUUAAUGAUAUGCUGAGACCUACUCUGUGUAGGUAGGAUGCAGGAAAAGGCCGCCGUCUGCAGGAACGGUGGGACAUUUGUCAGCCCAGUGAGGCAGCAGGACAGAAUCUUCUUCCCGCAAAACCCAGCAAACAAAGUCGGCCGGGAGGAGGCCGGUCCAGUGGCACUUGACUUGGUGACCCAAGCAGUCGUCGCACAGCCUGGCCCUGGUGGAGCCCAUAGCAGAAGCCCAGAAGAGCAAAAGAAGCCUUUGCUCAUCAGAAAUCAGGAGCAGACAAACAAUGCAGGCAAGAAGCCUUAUCAGGCAGCCUUGUUGUUGAAGGAAAAUUAGAUUGAGUCGAAGAGACAAUGACUGAGGAAUUAAUUUUUUUUUCUGUCCUGUGAAUUUAGAUGAAGUGCAGCCUUUAUAUUCCUUCAGGGGAAGUCUCUUAAAUAACAUGAGCAAAAGGAGCCCUAAAAUAAAACGCUUGGAGAUGUAACACAACCGAAGGCAAGAAUUCUUCAUUAAGAACUUCAUUUAAAAUCAGAUGCAUCUAAGUAGUUUUGCCACCCUCCCAAAAGUUCAUUUUUCUUCGCACAGUGCUUUUCUGAAUGCAUAAAUCUUUAAUAAUCUAAUUUUCCAGUGGCCGAACGUGUACGCAAUUGGCUCUUGGUCCAAAGAGUACGUUCAAGUUAAAGCAGUUAUACUUGAAGACCUCGUGUUCUGAGGCCUGGAGUAAAGAAGUUUUCAGCAAAGCUGUAAUGAAACCUUUUUCAAUUGGUGCCCUUGGCUGUGGGUGGCUUUUUUUUUUGAGAUUAUUUUCUGAAGAAAACAGGUUUUUCCGAACCAAGGGCUUUUCUGAAGCAAUCGAGGAGAUGCUGUCACUGGGGUUUGCUGCUUCUUGCUGGAUCUGGAGGCACUGACAUUUUGUACAAAGCAAUAACUUUCUACCCAAGCCACUUUUCAGUGGAAAAUGUGGUGUUCUUUCUGUGAAAAAAA
Oxyura jamaicensis (ruddy duck) is the source of this 1767-nucleotide long non-coding RNA. RefSeq lists it as uncharacterized. The transcript has 3 exons. The record is from RefSeq and is a predicted model, not a curated record. NCBI's taxonomy places the organism in Eukaryota, Metazoa, Chordata, Aves, Anseriformes, Anatidae.